CGAUUCCUACGGGAGGCAGCAGUGGGGAAUCUUGCACAAUGGGGGAAACCCUGAUGCAGCGACGCCGCGUGAGUGAUGAAGCCCUUCGGGGUGUAAAGCUCUUUCGACGGGAACGAUAAUGACGGUACCCGGAGAAGAAGCUGCGGCUAACUACGUGCCAGCAGCCGCGGUAAUACGUAGGCAGCAAGCGUUGUUCGGAAUUACUGGGCGUAAAGAGUACGUAGGUGGUUUGCUAAGUCCGAUGUGAAAUCUCCUGGCUUAACUGGGAGGGUGCGUUAGAUACUGGCAGGCUUGAAUGUGGGAGAGGAGAGCGGAAUUCCUGGUGUAGCGGUGAAAUGCGUAGAUAUCAGGAGGAACGCCUGUGGUGUAGACGGCUCUCUGGACCAUUAUUGACACUGAGGUACGAAAGCGUGGGUGGCAAACAGGAUUAGAUACCCUGGUAGUCCACGCCCUAAACGAUGCAUACUUGGUGUGGGCAGUUCAGUCUGUCGUGCGGAGCUACGCGUUAGUAUGCCGCCUGGGAGUACGUCGCAAGCCUGAAACUCAAAGGAAUUGACGGGGGCCCGCACAAGCGGUGGAGCAUGUGGUUUAAUUCGACGCAACGCGAAGAACCUUACCUGGGCUCGAACGGCUGCAGACCCGUGGUAGAAAUACCAUUUUCCCGCAAGGGACUGUAGUCGAGGUGCUGCAUGGCUGUCGUCAGCUCGUGUCGUGAGAUGUUGGGUUAAGUCCCGCAACGAGCGCAACCCUUGUCCUGUGUUGCCAUCAUUUAGUUGGGCACUCUCAGGAGACCGCCAGCGAUAAGUUGGAGGAAGGUGGGGAUGACGUCAAGUCAUCAUGGCCUUUGUGUCCAGGGCUACACACGUGCUACAAUGGACGGUACAACACGUUGCAAACCCGCGAGGGGGAGCCAAUCGUAAAAAACCGUUCUCAGUUCGGAUUGCAGGCUGCAACUCGCCUGCAUGAAGCUGGAAUCGCUAGUAAUGGCAUAUCAGAAUGAUGCCGUGAAUACGUUCCCGGGCCUUGUACACACCGCCAUCCAUAUGACUAG
RNAcentral lists this ribosomal RNA (1051 nucleotides) under uncultured bacterium. Its description in RNAcentral is "bacterial SSU rRNA". It matches the Rfam family "Bacterial small subunit ribosomal RNA", at positions 333 to 1408 of the family's 1533-position model. The record is from RNAcentral.